RNAcentral lists this ribosomal RNA (405 nucleotides) under uncultured bacterium. RNAcentral's name for it is "bacterial SSU rRNA". It matches the Rfam family "Bacterial small subunit ribosomal RNA", at positions 30 to 421 of the family's 1533-position model. The record is from RNAcentral.
AUUGAACGCUGGCGGCGUGCUUAACACAUGCAAGUCGAGCGGUAACAGGUGUAGCAAUACAUGCUGACGAGCGGCGAACGGGUGAGUAAUGCUUCGGAAUCUGCCCAGUAGUGGGGAAUAACCAGCCGAAAGGUUGGCUAAUACCGCGUACGCUCCUUGGACUUCGGUUCAGGGAGGAAAGCGAUACCGUGGGUAUCGCGCUCUUGGAUGGGCUCAUGUCCAUCAGCUUGUUGGUGAGGUAACGGCUCACCAAGGCUUCGACGGGUAGCUGGUCUGAGAGGACGAUCAGCCACACUGGCACUGCGACACGGGGCCAGACUCCUACGGGAGGCAGCAGUAAGGAAUAUUGCGCAAUGGGCGAAAGCCUGGCGCAGCGACGCCGCGUGGGGGAGUGAAGGUCUUCGG